UUGAUGGGUAGAGGCUGCAAAACUUAUAAGUACGAUGUGCGAGUGUGACAACGUUGAACACAUCUAAAAGGAAGUUUUGCCGAAGUUCUUUUUUUGCUGUCACUGAAAAAAGAGCUGGGGGUAUUCUGAACAAGAAUGCCACUGUCGUUUAUGUUUUAACAUAAGCGAAGAGCUACAGGGUUG
RNAcentral lists this non-coding RNA (183 nucleotides) under Planococcus glaciei. Its description in RNAcentral is "Planomicrobium glaciei Lysine sequence". It matches the Rfam family "Lysine riboswitch aptamer". From Rfam's summary of the family: Riboswitches are metabolite binding domains within certain messenger RNAs that serve as precision sensors for their corresponding targets. Allosteric rearrangement of mRNA structure is mediated by ligand binding, and this results in modulation of gene expression. Lineage: Bacteria; Bacillati; Bacillota; Bacilli; Caryophanales; Caryophanaceae. The record is from RNAcentral.